RNAcentral lists this ribosomal RNA (563 nucleotides) under Pectobacterium atrosepticum. Its description in RNAcentral is "partial 23S ribosomal RNA". It matches the Rfam family "Bacterial large subunit ribosomal RNA", at positions 1216 to 1775 of the family's 2925-position model. Lineage: Bacteria; Pseudomonadati; Pseudomonadota; Gammaproteobacteria; Enterobacterales; Pectobacteriaceae. The record is from RNAcentral.
AGGUGUUGUUGGGUAGGGGAGCGUUCUGUAAGCCGUCGAAGGUGGCCUGUGAGGGUUGCUGGAGGUAUCAGAAGUGCGAAUGCUGACAUAAGUAACGAUAAUGCGGGUGAAAAACCCGCACGCCGGAAGACCAAGGGUUCCUGUCCAACGUUAAUCGGGGCAGGGUGAGUCGACCCCUAAGGCGAGGCUGAAAAGCGUAGUCGAUGGGAAACAGGUUAAUAUUCCUGUACUCGGUGUUACUGCGAAGGGGGGACGGAGAAAGCUAGGUUAUCCGGGCGACGGUUGUCCCGGUUUAAGCGUGAAGGUGGAUGACUUUGGUAAAUCCGGGUCGUCAUUAACACUGAGGCGUGAUGACGAGUCACUACGGUGAUGAAGUAACCAAUGCUACGCUUCCAGGAAAAGCCUCUAAGCUCCAGGUAACAUCAAAUCGUACCCCAAACCGACACAGGUGGUCAGGUAGAGAAUACUCAGGCGCUUGAGAGAACUCGGGUGAAGGAACUAGGCAAAAUGGUGCCGUAACUUCGGGAGAAGGCACGCUGAUGGUAGGUGAAGUGACUUGCUCA